RNAcentral lists this ribosomal RNA (325 nucleotides) under uncultured bacterium. RNAcentral's name for it is "bacterial SSU rRNA". It matches the Rfam family "Bacterial small subunit ribosomal RNA", at positions 30 to 355 of the family's 1533-position model. The record is from RNAcentral.
AUUGAACGCUGGCGGCAGGCCUAACACAUGCAAGUCGAGCGGUAGAGAGGUGCUUGCAUCUCUUGAGAGCGGCGGACGGGUGAGUAAUGCCUAGGAAUCUGCCUAGUGGUGGGGGAUAACGUUCGGAAACGGACGCUAAUACCGCAUACGUCCUACGGGAGAAAGCGGGGGAUCUUCGGACCUCGCGCCAUUAGAUGAGCCUAGGUCGGAUUAGCUAGUUGGUGAGGUAAUGGCUCACCAAGGCGACGAUCCGUAACUGGUCUGAGAGGAUGAUCAGUCACACUGGAACUGAGACACGGUCCAGACNCCUACGGGAGGCAGCAGU